Molecule: ribosomal RNA, 458 nt
Filed under: uncultured marine bacterium
Lineage: Bacteria
Description: bacterial SSU rRNA
Rfam family: Bacterial small subunit ribosomal RNA
Source: RNAcentral
CGUCGAACGAACCUUCGGGUUAGUGGCGGAUGGGUGAGUAACGCGUGAGAAUCUGCCCUCAGGAGGGGGAUAACGGUUGGAAACGACCGCUAAUACCCCAUAUGCCUACUGGUGAAAUGAAUUUCGCCUGAGGAUGAGCUCGCGUCUGAUUAGCUAGUUGGUGAGGUAAUGGCUCACCAAGGCUUCGAUCAGUAGCUGGUCUGAGAGGAUGAUCAGCCACACUGGGACUGAGACACGGCCCAGACUCCUACGGGAGGCAGCAGUGGGGAAUUUUCCGCAAUGGGCGAAAGCCUGACGGAGCAACGCCGCGUGAGGGACGAAGGCCUCUGGGCUGUAAACCUCUUUUCUCAAGGAAGAAGAUAUGACGGUACUUGAGGAAUAAGCCACGGCUAAUUCCGUGCCAGCAGCCGCGGUAAUACGGGAGUGGCAAGCGUUAUCCGGAAUUAUUGGGCGUAAAG